This 400-nucleotide ribosomal RNA is filed under the name uncultured bacterium. Its description in RNAcentral is "bacterial SSU rRNA". It matches the Rfam family "Bacterial small subunit ribosomal RNA", at positions 355 to 767 of the family's 1533-position model. The record is from RNAcentral.
UGGGGAAUAUUGGGCAAUGGAGGAAACUCUGACCCAGCGACGCCGCGUGAGGGAUGAAGGCCUUCGGGUUGUAAACCUCUUUCAGCAGGGAAUAAGCGAAAGUGAAGGUACCUGCAGAAGAAGCACCGGCUAACUAUGUGCCAGCAGCCGCGGUAAUACAUAGGGUGCAAGCGUUGUCCGGAAUUAUUGGGCGUAAAGAGCUCGUAGGUGGUCGAUCACGUCGGAUGUGAAAAUCUGAGGCUUAACCUCAGACCUGCAUUCGAUACGGGUUGACUAGAGUGUGGUAGGGGAGACUGGAAUUCCUGGUGUAGCGGUGGAAUGCGCAGAUAUCAGGAGGAACACCGAUGGCGAAGGCAGGUCUCUGGGCCAUUACUGACACUGAGGAGCGAAAGCGUGGGGA